This 1575-nucleotide long non-coding RNA is filed under the name Gossypium raimondii (Peruvian cotton). Its description in RNAcentral is "long non-coding RNA (GRAI_LNC006547)". Lineage: Eukaryota; Viridiplantae; Streptophyta; Magnoliopsida; Malvales; Malvaceae. The record is from RNAcentral.
UGAAUUUUGUCCGGGAUUAAUUUCGUGUUUGAAAAAAAAAAAGAUUUUUUUUAUUUUAUUUUUUGCAUUUUAACCCCUGUAAUUUUAAAAUUUUACAUUUUGACCCCAAACUUUUCUAAAAUUUACAUUUUGACCCCAAAACUUUCUAAAAUUACAUUUCAACCCUUAUACUUUCUCAAAAUUUCACUUUGACCCCUAAACUCUCAAGAAAUUACAUUUUGGCCCAUAUUUUUGCUAAAAUUACACUUUUGCCCCAGAAGCUUUGCAUCCUAUGCAAUUUAGUCCUUCUGGACUUGUCUAAUCGCUGCAGCAGUGAGUGUACCCCUCCCGGCCGAGCUACUCCAGCAGCCCCCCUAGGCCAUCAUGGCUCCUCUGCCACCUGCAAACAAUGAGAAAGAGGACAAAAUUUGGAGCUUUUAAAAAGAAAAAAUUGAAGAGAAGGGGGGGAUUUUUCGGCAACCAAAGCAAAAAAAAUAGCAGAAAAUUCCAGCAGCAAAAAAUACUCCCAUGGGCCGAUCCCACGCUCACCGCCACCGUACCCACGCCACCACGAUCGCCGUGCAACAAUCAUCGUUACUCCUCGCCGAAGUCAAGCUAAGAAAUGUGCAAGCAUAAACAAAAGAAAGGAAAAUAGCAUCAAGCAAGCAAAAAAAAAAAGUAAAGUAGAAAGAAGUGAAGAAAGAAGAAGAAGAGAGGAGGGAAAGGAGAACGCCGGCGACCGUCCAACCACCGCACCCAGGAGACACCGACGGCGGUGAAAAAGAAGGGCCAAGGCUUUGAGACAAGAAGAAGAGAAGAAGAAAAAAAAGAAAAAAAAAAAGAGGAAGAAAAAGAGAGAAAAAAGAAAGAAAAAAAGAAAAUAAAAAGUAAUAAAAAAAUAAAAACAGCAGCCCAUUUUUGGUAAGCCACCAGCAGUCCACCACCAAUGGACUUGACCCAGUGCAGGCCCAAUACCCCAGCAGCUCCAGCGGGCCGUUUGCAGCAGUGAAGCGGGCCAACUGAGGCCCAAACCGAAAAAAAGGAAAAGGGCCUUUUUGGGUAAAUUUUUUUCUUUUUAAUCUAUUUUAUUUUAUUUAAUGUAUUUAAAUGGUGUUUUAUUUAAUUUAAAUUAGUAUGUUUAAAAAUAGUUUUCAUAAAUAUUAUUAUGUCAUUUUAAUUGCAUAUUUAAAAAAUAAUAAUAAUAAUAUUUUAAUGCAUAAGGCAACGAACCAAUUUAGCAUCGAGUCAUCGAAUUCAUCGCUAUGUUGGGUGGAUAUCGAUAGCUCGUGUUAAAUUCGGGACGCUCUUUUAAAAAUAAAAAUAUUCAAAAAUCCUCGUAUUUUAAUAAAAAUUCUCAUGUUUUAUUAGAAUCCCGAUUAAAUAUUAAAUUGAAUUGAGUUAACACUAAUUCGAUGGUUUCAUCGCCAUAACGAGGUGAAUGUCACCGAUUCAUGUUAAAUACGGUAUUUAAAGAAAUAAAAAAAUAAAAAACUUGUGUUUUAAAAAAAUUCGUGUUUUUAAAUUUCCAUGUUUUAAAAUUUUCGUGUUUUUAAAAAAAAUAAAAAAUAAAAAAUUUCGUGUUAUCAAAAAUUCCCG